Molecule: long non-coding RNA, 279 nt
Filed under: Gossypium barbadense (sea-island cotton)
Lineage: Eukaryota; Viridiplantae; Streptophyta; Magnoliopsida; Malvales; Malvaceae
Description: long non-coding RNA (GBAR_LNC014051)
Source: RNAcentral
CGGGCGAAUUUGGGCCAUUACAGCUACCCCUCUUUGCUCAUUAUCGUGUAAUGGGAAUGAAGCAAAGACUUUGAUAAGGCCAAAUUUGCCUGGUCAUGCGGGAUUCUGGUGUUCUUCUUCAAGUAGCCUCAUUCCAUCCUACUGCAUCUUCAGAGGUAUAAGAAUCGGCGUUUUGAUCCACUCCACUGUAAUAUCAGGGAGAUAGGAUUUGUAACUCGUAACUUUAAUCUGUUUAACUAUGAUGUCGGGGAGGUGGGAUUUGCUGUUGUAGCUUCAAUC